GAUGAACGCUGGCGGCGUGCCUAAUACAUGCAAGUCGAGCGAACAGAUGAGGAGCUUGCUCCUCUGACGUUAGCGGCGGACGGGUGAGUAACACGUGGAUAACCUACCUAUAAGACUUGGAUAACUUCGGGAAACCGGAGCUAAUACCGGAUAAUAUAUUGAACCGCAUGGUUCAAUAGUGAAAGACGGUUUUGCUGUCACUUAUAGAUGGAUCCGCGCCGCAUUAGCUAGUUGGUAAGGUAACGGCUUACCAAGGCAACGAUGCGUAGCCGACCUGAGAGGGUGAUCGGACAAACUGGAACUGAGACACGGUCCAGACUCCUACGGGAGGCAGCAGUAGGGAAUCUUCCGCAAUGGGCGAAAGCAUGACGGAGCAACGCCGCGUGAGUGAUGAAGGGCUUCGGAUCGUAAAACUCUGUUAUUAGGGAAGAACAAAUGUGUAAGUAACUAUGCACGUCUUGACGGUACCUAAUCAGAAAGCCACGGCUAACUACGUG
This 497-nucleotide ribosomal RNA is filed under the name uncultured bacterium. Its description in RNAcentral is "partial 16S ribosomal RNA". It matches the Rfam family "Bacterial small subunit ribosomal RNA", at positions 28 to 507 of the family's 1533-position model. The record is from RNAcentral.